RNAcentral lists this ribosomal RNA (253 nucleotides) under uncultured bacterium. Its description in RNAcentral is "partial 16S ribosomal RNA". It matches the Rfam family "Bacterial small subunit ribosomal RNA", at positions 524 to 776 of the family's 1533-position model. The record is from RNAcentral.
UACAGAGGGUGCAAGCGUUGUUCGGAAUUAUUGGGCGUAAAGCGCGUGUAGGCGGCUUUGUAAGUUGGGUGUGAAAGCCCUCGGCUUAACCGAGGAAGUGCGCCCAAAACUGCAUGGCUUGAGUACCGGAGAGGGUGGCGGAAUUCCAGGUGUAGCGGUGAAAUGCGUAGAUAUCUGGAGGAACACCGGUGGCGAAGGCGGCAUCCUGGACCGGUAUUGACGCUGAGGCGCGAAAGCCAGGGGAGCAAACGGG